RNAcentral lists this long non-coding RNA (614 nucleotides) under Marmota monax (woodchuck). Lineage: Eukaryota; Metazoa; Chordata; Mammalia; Rodentia; Sciuridae. The record is from RNAcentral.
CCCCGCUCCCCCCCAAACACACUCGCACACGGGCUCUCAAGGUGUUCUCCGCACAGCGGAAGAUGGCGACAGACUGAGGGGGCAUGGCCAGCGGGAGCCACGGGGCCGUGCCGCUGGGCGGCCGCCACAGCGGUGCAAAUGAGAGGCGGAAGCGAGAAGCGCACUAAGUAAAGCCCCGUGUCCGCGUCCGGCGCCUGUGGCGCUGCCAGGAGCCAGGUGGACCGCCCGAGCCGGAACUCCGGGAGCAGCGGGUGCGGAGCCAGAGCGGAGCCGGCCCGGGACCGGCCCCGCGAACGGCAGGAGCACAAGCGAAGCCCGAAGGGCUGGGCGAAGGACUGGUCGGUCGGCCUAGGAGGGCGCGAGCGAGGCAGGGAGCGGCGCUGAGCGGGCAGCGGGCGGACGGGCGGGAGAGGAGCGGCGCGGGGCGAGGGGAGCAGAGCGGAGCGCGGCGGUGGGGCCCGCACGGCGGCGCUGAGGGGCGCAGAGCUGCGCCGAACCGAGACGGCCGGAACAGAGUGUGAGCCGGGCAGCCGCCGGCGCAGAGUGAAGUGGCGCGGAGCCGAGGGCAGCUGAGGGGCCCGACACUAUGAGGAGUGCGGCACCGCCGCCGCAGC